Molecule: long non-coding RNA, 1321 nt
Organism: Rana temporaria (common frog)
Lineage: Eukaryota; Metazoa; Chordata; Amphibia; Anura; Ranidae
Exons: 4
Source: RefSeq, a predicted model, not a curated record
GUCUGGGCUGGGAUGACGGGGGACACAAUAGCGGUGUACAGUUAGUGACAGGUCCUCUUUAGGUCUUCUCUGAGGUCUGGGGUGGGAUGACGGGGGACACAAUAGCGGUGUACAGUUAGUGACAGGUCCUCUUUAGGUCUUCUCUGAGGUCUGGGGUGGGAUGACGGGGGACACAAUAGCGGUGUACAGUUAGUGACAGGUCCUCUUUAGGUCUUCUCUAUGGCUGAGGUCUGGGGUGGGAUGACGGGGGACACAAUAGCGGUGUACAGUUAGUGACAGGUCCUCUUUAGGUCUUCUCUAUGGCUGAGGUCUGGGGUGGGAUGACGGGGGACACAAUAGCGGUGUACAGUUAGUGACAGGUCCUCUUUAGGUCUUCUCUAUGACUGAGGUCUGGGGUGGGAUGACGGGGGACACAAUAGCGGUGUACAGUUAGUGACAGGUCCUCUUUAGGUCUUCUCUGAGGUCUGGGGUGAGAUGACGGGGGACACAAUAGCGGUGUACAGUUAGUGACAGGUCCUCUCUAGGUCUUCUCUGAGGUCUGGGGUGGGAUGACGGGGGACACAAUAGCGGUGUACAGUUAGUGACAGGUCCUCUUUAGGUCUUCUCUGAGGUCUGGGGUGGGAUGAUGGGGGACACAAUAGCGGUGUACAGUUAGUGACAGGUCCUCUUUAGGUCUUCUCUGAGGUCUGGGCUGGGAUGACGGGGGACACAAUAGCGGUGUACAGUUAGUGACAGGUCCUCUUUAGGUCUUCUCUGAGGUCUGGGGUGGGAUGACGGGGGACACAAUAGCGGUGUACAGUUAGUGACAGGUCCUCUUUAGGUCUUCUCUGAGGUCUGGGGUGGGAUGAUGGGGGACACAAUACCGGUGUACAGUUAGUGACAGGUCCUCUUUAGGUCUUCUCUGAGGUCUGGGGUGGGAUGACGGGGGACACAAUAGCGGUGUACAGUUAGUGACAGGUCCUCUUUAGGUCUUCUCUGAGGUCUGGGGUGAGAUGACGGGGGACACAAUAGCGGUGUACAGUUAGUGACAGGUCCUCUCUAGGUCUUCUCUGAGGUCUGGGGUGGGAUGACGGGGGACACAAUAGCGGUGUACAGUUAGUGACAGGUCCUCUUUAGGUCUUCUCUAUGGCUGAGGUCUGGGGUGGGAUGACGGGGGACACAAUAGCGGUGUACAGUUAGUGACAGGUCCUCUUUAGGUCUUCUCUGAGGUCUGGGGUGGGAUGACGGGGGACACAAUAGCGGUGUACAGUUAGUGACAGGUCCUCUUUAGGUCUUCUCUGAGGUCUGGGGUGGGAUGACGGGGGACACAAUAGCGGUGUAC